AGAGUUUGAUCCUGGCUCAGAGUGAACGCUGGCGGUAGGCCUAACACAUGCAAGUCGAACGGCAGCACAGUAAGAGCUUGCUCUUACGGGUGGCGAGUGGCGGACGGGUGAGGAAUACAUCGGAAUCUACUUUUUCGUGGGGGAUAACGUAGGGAAACUUACGCUAAUACCGCAUACGACCUACGGGUGAAAGCAGGGGAUCUUCGGACCUUGCGCGAUUGAAUGAGCCGAUGUCGGAUUAGCUAGUUGGCGGGGUAAAGGCCCACCAAGGCGACGAUCCGUAGCUGGUCUGAGAGGAUGAUCAGCCACACUGGAACUGAGACACGGUCCAGACUCCUACGGGAGGCAGCAGUGGGGAAUAUUGGACAAUGGGCGCAAGCCUGAUCCAGCCAUACCGCGUGGGUGAAGAAGGCCUUCGGGUUGUAAAGCCCUUUUGUUGGGAAAGAAAUCCAGCUGGUUAAUACCCGGUUGGGAUGACGGUACCCAAAGAAUAAGCACCGGCUAACUUCGUGCCAGCAGCCGCGGUAAUACGAAGGGUGCAAGCGUUACUCGGAAUUACUGGGCGUAAAGCGUGCGUAGGUGGUUGUUUAAGUCUGUUGUGAAAGCCCUGGGCUCAACCUGGGAACUGCAGUGGAAACUGGACGACUAGAGUGUGGUAGAGGGUAGCGGAAUUCCUGGUGUAGCAGUGAAAUGCGUAGAGAUCAGGAGGAACAUCCAUGGCGAAAGGCAGCUACCUGGACCAACACUGACACUGAGGCACGAAAGCGUGGGGAGCAAACAGGAUUAGAUAC
RNAcentral lists this ribosomal RNA (791 nucleotides) under uncultured bacterium. RNAcentral describes it as "bacterial SSU rRNA". It matches the Rfam family "Bacterial small subunit ribosomal RNA", at positions 8 to 785 of the family's 1533-position model. The record is from RNAcentral.